AUUACGGGAGGCAGCAGCGGGGAAUAUUGGACAAUGGGCCACAAGCCUGAUCCAGCAAUUCUGUGUGCACGAUGAAGGUCUUCGGAUUGUAAAGUGCUUUCAGUUGGGAAGAAGAAAGUGACGGUACCAACAGAAGAAGCGACGGCUAAAUACGUGCCAGCAGCCGCGGUAAUAAU
This 176-nucleotide ribosomal RNA is filed under the name uncultured bacterium. Its description in RNAcentral is "partial 16S ribosomal RNA". It matches the Rfam family "Bacterial small subunit ribosomal RNA", at positions 338 to 527 of the family's 1533-position model. The record is from RNAcentral.